This 1325-nucleotide ribosomal RNA is filed under the name metagenome. RNAcentral describes it as "bacterial LSU rRNA". It matches the Rfam family "Bacterial large subunit ribosomal RNA", at positions 1561 to 2925 of the family's 2925-position model. The record is from RNAcentral.
AGUGGAUGGGGAGCAACCUAGUUGUGCGUGUGUAAAGGUAGUGCCAAGAAAAGCGAUGAUCAUGUUGAAAAUCAAUUCCCGGUACCCGAAACCGACACAGGUGGGCAAGUAGAGAAUACUAAGGGGCGCGAGGUAACUCUCUCCAAGGAACUCGGCAAAAUGACCCCGUAACUUAGGGAGAAGGGGUGCCACCGAGAGGUGGUCGCAGUGAAGAGGCCCAGGCGACUGUUUAGCAAAAACAUAGGUCUCUGCAAACUCGAAAGAGGAGGUAUAGGGGCUGACGCCUGCCCAGUGCCGGAAGGUUAAAGAAGUUGGUCAGUUUUAGGAUGAAGCUAGCGACUGAAGCCCCGGUGAACGGCGGCCGUAACUAUAACGGUCCUAAGGUAGCGAAAUUCCUUGUCGGGUAAGUUCCGACCCGCACGAAAGGCGUAACGAUCUGGGCGCUGUCUCGGAGAGAGGCUCGGCGAAAUAGGAUUGUCUGUGAAGAUACGGACUACCUGCAUUUGGACAGAAAGACCCUAUGAAGCUUUACUAUAGCUUGGAAUUGUGUUCGGGCUUCCUGUGCGCAGGAUAGGUGGGAGGCGUAGAAGGUAUUCUUGUGGGGAUACUGGAGCCAACGGUGAGAUACCACUCUCAGGAGGCUAGAAUUCUAACUUAAUUAAGGACAGUUUCAGGUGGGUAGUUUGACUGGGGCGGUCGCCUCCAAAAAGGUAACGGAGGCGUACAAAGGUUCCCUCAGACUGGUUGGAAAUCAGUCGAAGAGUGCAAAGGCAGAAGGGAGCUUGACUGCGAGAAGUACAGUUCGAGCAGGGUGGAAACACGGUCUUAGUGAUCCGACGGUGCUGUGUGGAAGGGCCGUCGCUCAACGGAUAAAAGUUACUCUAGGAUAACAGGCUGAUCUCCCCCAAGAGUUCACAUCGACGGGGAGGUUUGGCACCUCGAUGUCGGCUCAUCGCAACCUGGGGCGGAAGUACGUCCCAAGGGUUGGGCUGUUCGCCCAUUAAAGCGGUACGUGAGCUGGGUUCAGAACGUCGUGAGACAGUUCGGUCCAUAUCCGAUGUAGGCGUGAGAAUAUUGAGAGGAGCCUUCCUUAGUACGAGAGGACCGGGAAGGACGCACCGCUGGUGUACCUGUUAUGAUGCCAAUUGUAAACGCAGGGUAGCCAAGUGCGGAGAGGAUAACCGCUGAAAGCAUCUAAGUGGGAAGCCCACCUCAAGAUGAGUAUUCUGGUGUAAGGUCACGGGAAGACGACCCGUAAAUAGGCACGAGGUGGAAGUGCAGAGAUGUACGAAGCCGAAGUGUACUAAUAGACCGUCGGCUUGACC